GGUCUCGUAGUUCAAUGGAUAGAACAGCAGUUUCCUAAACUGUUCCUACAAGUUCGAUUCUUGUCGAGACUACCA
This 75-nucleotide transfer RNA is filed under the name Sphingobacteriales bacterium. Its description in RNAcentral is "tRNA-Arg". It matches the Rfam family "tRNA". From Rfam's summary of the family: Transfer RNA (tRNA) molecules are approximately 80 nucleotides in length. Their secondary structure includes four short double-helical elements and three loops (D, anti-codon, and T loops). Further hydrogen bonds mediate the characteristic L-shaped molecular structure. tRNAs have two regions of fundamental functional importance: the anti-codon, which is responsible for specific mRNA codon recognition, and the 3' end, to which the tRNAs corresponding amino acid is attached (by aminoacyl-tRNA synthetases). tRNAs cope with the degeneracy of the genetic code in two manners: having more than one tRNA (with a specific anti-codon) for a particular amino acid; and 'wobble' base-pairing, i.e. permitting non-standard base-pairing at the 3rd anti-codon position. Lineage: Bacteria; Pseudomonadati; Bacteroidota; Sphingobacteriia; Sphingobacteriales. The record is from RNAcentral.